This is a long non-coding RNA of Magnolia sinica, 371 nucleotides long. RefSeq lists it as uncharacterized. NCBI's taxonomy places the organism in Eukaryota, Viridiplantae, Streptophyta, Magnoliopsida, Magnoliales, Magnoliaceae. The transcript is spliced from 3 exons. The record is from RefSeq and is a predicted model, not a curated record.
CAAAGCUUUGGACACCAAAAUAUAAACGGCUAAAGAGAGCAUCGGAGUGGUUGGGUUGGAGAAAGAUUGCAGGUUUCUCCUCUCCCACUCCAAAGGGGCAACCGAGAAGAACACAGCUUCAUCGAAGCCUAAUAUGGGAAAAGAGACAGGAAGCUUUGGGAAGAGAAUGAACAAGACACAUACUCUCUGCGUGCGGUGCGGGCGUCGCAGCUUUCGUCUUCAGAAGAGCCGAUGAGCUUCUUGCGCUUAUCCUGCCAGCUGUAUCCGCAAGUAUAACUGUAGUGUGAAGGCCAUUAGGAGGAAGACAACCGGAACGGGAAGGAUGAGGUAUUUACAUCAUGUGCCUCAAAGGUUCAAGAGCAAUUUCAGAG